RNAcentral lists this ribosomal RNA (374 nucleotides) under uncultured organism. RNAcentral's name for it is "partial 16S ribosomal RNA". It matches the Rfam family "Bacterial small subunit ribosomal RNA", at positions 527 to 896 of the family's 1533-position model. The record is from RNAcentral.
GUAGGUGGCAAGCGUUGUCCGGAAUUAUUGGGGCGUAAAGCGCGCGCAGGCGGUUCUUUAAGUCUGAUGUGAAAGCCCACGGGCUCAACCGUGGAGGGUCAUUGGAAACUGGAUAACUUGAGUACAGAAGAGGAAAGCGGAACUCCACGUGUAGCGGUGAAAUGCGUAGAGAUGUGGAGGAACACCAGUGGCGAAGGCGGCUUUCUGGUCUGUAACUGACGCUGAGGCGCGAAAGCGUGGGGAGCAAACAGGAUUAGAUACCCUGGUAGUCCACGCCGUAAACGAUGAGUGCUAAGUGUUAGGGGGUUUCCGCCCCUUAGUGCUGCAGCUAACGCAUUAAGCACUCCGCCUGGGGAGUACGGCCGCAAAGGCUG